UGCAAGUCGUGCGAGAAAGUAUCUUCGGAUAUGAGUAGAGCGGCGGACGGGUGAGUAACGCGUAGGAAUCUACCUAGUAGAAGGGGAUAGCCCGGGGAAACUCGGAUUAAUACCGUAUACCUCCUUCGGGAGAAAGAAGGCCUCUCUUUGAAGCUUUCGCUAUUAGAUGAGCCUGCGUAAGAUUAGCUUGUUGGUGAGGUAAAGGCUCACCAAGGCGACGAUCUUUAGCGGGUCUGAGAGGACGAUCCGCCACAUUGGGACUGAGACACGGCCCAGACUCCUACGGGAGGCAGCAGUGGGGAAUAUUGGACAAUGGGCGCAAGCCUGAUCCAGCCAUACCGCGUGUGUGAAGAAGGCCCUAGGGUUGUAAAGCACUUUAAGUUGGGAAGAAAAGUUAUUGGUUAAUAUCCAAUAACCGUGACAUUACCAUCAGAAUAAGGACCGGC
Molecule: ribosomal RNA, 446 nt
Filed under: uncultured Pseudomonadota bacterium
Lineage: Bacteria; Pseudomonadati; Pseudomonadota
Description: bacterial SSU rRNA
Rfam family: Bacterial small subunit ribosomal RNA
Source: RNAcentral